Molecule: ribosomal RNA, 457 nt
Filed under: uncultured bacterium
Lineage: Bacteria
Description: bacterial SSU rRNA
Rfam family: Bacterial small subunit ribosomal RNA
Source: RNAcentral
AUGCAAGUCGAGCGGCAGCGCGGGGCAACCCUGGCGGCGAGCGGCGAACGGGUGAGUAAUGCAUCGGAACGUACCCUGGAGUGGGGGAUAACGCCGCGAAAGCGGCGCUAAUACCGCAUAUGCUCUGAGGAGGAAAGUGGGGGACCGCAAGGCCUCACGCUCUGGGAGCGGCCGAUGUCCGAUUAGCUAGUUGGUGGGGUAAAGGCUUACCAAGGCGACGAUCGGUAGCUGGUCUGAGAGGAUGAUCAGCCACACUGGGACUGAGACACGGCCCAGACUCCUACGGGAGGCAGCAGUGGGGAAUUUUUGGACAAUGGGGGCAACCCUGAUCCAGCCAUGCCGCGUGAGUGAAGAAGGCCUUCGGGUUGUAAAGCUCUUUUGGUCGGGAAGAAAGCGCCUUGCCUAAUACGCGAGGUGGUUGACGGUACCGGCAGAAUAAGCACCGGCUAACUACGUG